This 519-nucleotide long non-coding RNA is filed under the name Phascolarctos cinereus (koala). Its description in RNAcentral is "lncRNA (ENSPCIG00000035361.1)". The record is from RNAcentral. Lineage: Eukaryota; Metazoa; Chordata; Mammalia; Diprotodontia; Phascolarctidae.
CUUGAAAAGCCCAUAAUUCUUGACAGGAGAUGGAAGACAGAUAAAGCAAGAGAUGCAGCCCCAGCCCACUGUCCUCUGAUCCAAGGAGAGUCAUACCAUCUGGGACUGUUUUCCAAAGUCAGAAGGUUAGAAAUAUUCCAACCAGUACCCCUGGGUCAGAGUGACUGAAGAACUCAACUCCCCCAGACACUCUAAAAACCCUCUUGGAAGAUCUUCCCACCACAUGUACACCCCUCUUAACAGCUCUCUGGGAUCUAAGUAUUUGGCCUUUUAACUGUACCGAAAGUGUGAAAGGAAUCUGGGGUCUGGAAGAAUGGAUUAAAGUUGCGCAUGACUACAAAAGUUGGGUACUUAAGCUGUUUGAUAUCCAGUAUGUAAAAUGGAGUCAUGAAGAGUCAGAUACAACUGAAACAACUGAACAACAGUAAUAACAAUGUGGGAAUUUGUUUUGUGUGACUGGAUAUUUAUAAUAUUUUUCUUGCCUUCUCAGUGGAUUGGGGGAGGUGGAGAAGUCAGAAC